Molecule: ribosomal RNA, 253 nt
Filed under: uncultured prokaryote
Description: partial 16S ribosomal RNA
Rfam family: Bacterial small subunit ribosomal RNA
Source: RNAcentral
ACGAAGGUGGCAAGCGUUGUUCGGAUUUACUGGGCGUACAGGGAGCGUAGGCGGUUGGGUAAGCCCUUCGUGAAAUCUCCGGGCCUAACCCGGAAAGUGCGGAGGGGACUGCUCGGCUAGAGGAUGGGAGAGGAGCGCGGAAUUCCCGGUGUAGCGGUGAAAUGCGUAGAGAUCGGGAGGAAGGCCGGUGGCGAAGGCGGCGCUCUGGAACAUUUCUGACGCUGAGGCUCGAAAGCGUGGGGAGCAAACAGGA